Molecule: ribosomal RNA, 452 nt
Filed under: uncultured bacterium
Lineage: Bacteria
Description: SSU rRNA
Rfam family: Bacterial small subunit ribosomal RNA
Source: RNAcentral
AGAACGAACGCUGGCGGCAUGCCUAACACAUGCAAGUCGAACGCUCUUGGUUUCGGCCAAGGGAGUGGCGCACGGGUGAGUAACGCGUGGGAACCUGCCCUGGAGUGGGGGAUAACCGAGGGAAACCUCGGCUAAUACCGCAUACGACCUGAGGGUGAAAGAUUUAUCGCUCUAGGAGGGGCCCGCGUCGGAUUAGCUAGUUGGUGAGGUAACGGCCCACCAAGGCUAUGAUCCGUAGCUGGUCUGGGAGGAUGAUCAGCCACACUGGGACUGAGACACGGCCCAGACUCCUACGGGAGGCAGCAGUGGGGAAUAUUGGACAAUGGGCGCAAGCCUGAUCCAGCAAUGCCGCGUGAGUGAUGAAGGCCUUAGGGUUGUAAAGCUCUUUCACACGCGACGAUGAUGACGGUAGCGUGAGAAGAAGCCCCGGCUAACUUCGCGCCAGCAGCCGC